Chlorocebus sabaeus (green monkey) is the source of this 282-nucleotide non-coding RNA. Lineage: Eukaryota; Metazoa; Chordata; Mammalia; Primates; Cercopithecidae. The record is from Rfam.
GCCGGGCAUGGUGGUGGGUGCCUGUAAUCCCAGCUACUUGGGAGUUUGAGGCCAGAGAAUCGCUUGAACCCGAGAGGCGGAGGUGGCAGUGAGCCAAGACCAUGCCAUUAUACUCCAGCCUGGGCGACAAGAAAGAAACUCCGUUUCAAAAGAAAAAAANNNNNNNNNNUUUUUUUCUUUUGAAACGGAGUUUCUUUCUUGUCGCCCAGGCUGGAGUAUAAUGGCAUGGUCUUGGCUCACUGCCACCUCCGCCUCUCGGGUUCAAGCGAUUCUCUGGCCUCA